AUUCUACCUCCAUGGCUUAUAUUGUUUACAGUCUUAUCAUUAACACCAGAAAGGCAGCCCCGUGUGUCUGUGGGCCUCUCGCCGCCUCCUAGGACACCCAAAUAAGAAAAAAAGUCCCUCGGUGUAGUUAAGAAACGCUCCCCAGCGCUUAGUGGAGUUAAAGAAGUAGCAGAGCUUAUGUGCCUAAAUGAAAAAGGAAUCUGUAAAAUAAAGAACUACCUCAGAAGUAUAUACCUGAAAAUACCAUGAUAUUCAAAUGGGGUAGUGCCAUGAAGGUCAGAGGCAUAGUGUUUCCUGUUAAAGAGAUGAACUGUCUCAGUCAUGCUGCUGUGUAAAAGACAAAAAGUGAAUACUUGAUAUGAAGAAUGAAGUUGUGUUGAGAGGCAGGAAGCCUCCUCCUACCAUGUGCACAAUAUAGUUGCUGCAAGAGGCAUCUGUUGAAGUGGAGCCACUGGUAGGAGUUUGUCUGCUGUUCCUGCUUGGGCAACAUCUUCACCAUUGAGUGUCACACACAUCCUGCCUCCACCAUCUCCUUCAAGGACCAAGAUGAGGAAGACAAGUUUACACGAGGCUUUCUUAAGUCAAGAUUACUUGGCUGGGGAAAGGUCUGUACGGAGACACACAGUGAGUGUGCCUAACUCUCUCGAGGGUGGUGGUGGCGAGUAUCGAACUGUUCCGGUCAUAGGAAGACCAAGGCCACUCCCAGCCGUUGGGUGUAAUGUCCCAGGGAUGGGGAUGAUGGAUAACUGGGGCCUCAGAGCUCAUCACAGCUUGCAAGUCCGUU
Eriocheir sinensis (Chinese mitten crab) is the source of this 784-nucleotide long non-coding RNA. RefSeq lists it as uncharacterized. The record is from RefSeq and is a predicted model, not a curated record. NCBI's taxonomy places the organism in Eukaryota, Metazoa, Arthropoda, Malacostraca, Decapoda, Varunidae. The transcript has 4 exons.